GUCUAUGGCCAUUCCACCCUGAACAAGCCUGAUCCCGUCUGAUCUCAGAAGCUAAGCAGGGUUGGGCCUGGUUAGUACUUGGAUGGGAGACCACCUAGGAAGACCAGGUGCUGUAGGCA
Molecule: ribosomal RNA, 119 nt
Filed under: Pteropus alecto (black flying fox)
Lineage: Eukaryota; Metazoa; Chordata; Mammalia; Chiroptera; Pteropodidae
Source: RNAcentral